UGGAUGGGACCUUGGGCAGCCUGAACUGAGGUUGGGUGGGAUUUGAGGUCCCUUCCAACCCAACCCAUUCUGUGAUUCUAUGAUUCUAUGAUUCUAUGAUUCUAUAAUUCUGUGAUUCCUGUUAAGAUUUACAGAUAACUUGUUUGUGCAUAUCUAGAUAAAUGGAUGGAUGGAUGGAUGGAUGGAUAGAUAGAUAGAUAGAUAGACAGAUAGAUAGAUAGAUAGAUAGAUAGAUCGAUCUAUGGAUGGAAAAAUACUUGGAAUUUUAAGUGGCUGAGAAACUUUUACUUUCGCCAACCUGUCAGCACUGGCAUUGCCUACAGGUUUGUGGUUUUUUUGGCAUUACUUAGACUUCUGUAGUUCCUCUGUUAGUAGUUGCGUAUAACUUUUAGAAAAACCUUUCCUCAUAUCCAUACCUAUCCUAUGUGUAUAUACAUCCAUAAAUACAUACAAGUACCUAUAGACAUCUGUAACUUUAUAACAUGCACACACAAUGAGCCUCUGUAUGUUUCCAAGCCAUAAGCAGAUAAUGUGGAAAUUAUGGUGUAUGGGAACUGUUGAGUCACGGCCUGAACAACUGAAUCAGCCAUGGGAGCACUGGUGAAGGCAAUUCAGCCGUGUGACUUUAGGGGUGGAACCUGGCUGCACCUCUCCUAGACCCCAAUGGACUCAAUGGAGUCUUUCCUGCAAACCUACAUCUUCAGGUACAGUCUUAUGGUUCCCUUAGCAUGGAAAGGUGUUUGACUGGUAAUGCUGAGGUGAAUCGAAGAAUUGGAAGUCAAAGGAAGCUUUUGUCAGUAUUGUUGUGCUACAAAGACGACUGAAUUUUUGGAUAGUGAUAAUUACAGACAAGGUGGACAACAAAGCUGAUUCAGCAUAGUAGCCAGUGCUGCCUCCCUGGGGCUUGAGGGCUCAGACAUAGCAUCCUGUGACAGCAACUUCAAGCCUAUUACUACGCAUAAGGUGAGCAACAUGAGUUGAUCAUAUGCACGGUCCACAGCAACUGUGAGAUAAAUUACAUUAGUUUAAAUGCCAGUGAAGGAAGUCUAGCUGAUGUAUAUAAACUCAUUAAGCUAAUUCUAGAACUGUAGGAAAAAGUGAUGAUUUCAGUCAGCUGAAAUAGGAUGGGGAGUCCUCGCUGCAUGAGACAAAAGAGAACACCACACAUGGCUCCUUGGGCUAAGAGACAGUAGGGGGUGUCCUGCCUUUUAGAUGGGAAAAUAUGCAGUUUUUCCCCUCCAUAGCACCUCUGUUUAUCCAAAGCAAUAAACAUUGUAAGACUCAAGGGACUGGGCUGGCAUAGGAAAUUACACCUCAUGCUCCAGUUUCAUUCCUCACAGAAAAAGGUGUUUUCAAAUACAGUUGACAGAAAUAACUUCAGUCAAAUAAUAAGCUGUGAGAUGUGUUAUUCCAUGAAGAAUAAUCCAAGAAUGAUAUUCCAUGAAGAAUAAAGCCAUCCUCCUUCAAUCAGACCUUUCUUUUGCUGAAAGACUAGUUAGCUUGUUCAGUUUUGUUAUGUUUUAAACGGAUUACAGUACUUGGCAUUGAGAGCAGUACUAUUUUUCGAUUAGAAAAUUAGGAGAAGAAUAUUUCUAUUGUUUGCAGUAGCAAUUUUUAGUGAAGUUAAACCACUGUGUUAAUACAUAGACUUGCCUUAGAUAUUAAAAAUAAACAGUAUGUGCCCUCCAAGUGUCAAGCAUACUGCCAACAAAGACAUCUUCACUUUAUUCUGAAAUUUUAGCACACUACUAGCACUCCUAACCUCAGAGAGAGGGCCCGAGUGCUCUGAACUAAGUGCUUGCUCACCAUUUCAUUGAUGAUUUUGAAGGCUGUAGAGCUGGACAAGCAGUUUAGAAAAUAAAGUCUUUCUUCCUUUUUUUUUUCAAUUGACAAGUGUACUGAUAGCCAGUUCAAUUUGAUUUGACACAGAUGGCCAUCUCAGAUGGCAAUCAUUCACCAAAAUACAUGUCACCUUUGGUUAAUGACCUAGCCUCGUUAAUAAUCUUGCGAUGGCUUCUCCACAUUGUAUAUGACAUGUGGCUUUGAACUUCCUGCAAUAACCCUCUUACAUUUUUAAAUCCCAGACUGCAUAAUGCCUGGCUCCAAAGCAUCAUUUCUUCCUCAUAAGCAUGCACCAGCUGCCAAAUGAGCUUCCUGUGAUGCUCCCCUCAUCUUAGCCCUGGGGACUGGUAAGAAGGGACAUGUAAAAUUCCAUGGAAGGAGACCUCUGCCCUCUGUUUCUAUACAUUAUACUUUGUCAAGACAGAGCCUAAAGGGACUGGAGCCACUAGCCUGAGCUGCAGAGAUACUUCCCUGCAUGACUCUGCUGGGUAAGCAGAUCUCUUUGCAUUCAACCAUUUUUAAGAGAUCUUAAAAAGCCUUAAAUUUGUUUCCAUCAUUUGUUUGUUGAAGAAAUCAAAUAGACCAUAAACACAGUGACCAUAAAACUUCUCCAUCGCUAAUUACUUUUAAAAUGAAAAGACUGCUAUUCAGCCUCCCCUGUUUCAUCUGGUAGCUGCUGCAGCAGUGACUGAUCUGGCUAAUAGACGCUGUAGCCUGUUUUCUGCUACUGCCUAUUACAGUGUCACAGAGAGAGAAAAUAUAAACAUCAGGCAUGUGUCGAGUAAUUUUUCUCACAAAAGAACAUAUUAAUAUGAAGCAAUGAGAAGCUCUGGGACUUCCUAACCUGGAUGUGGCAUACCUUUCCCUCAGCUGAUGUUGUUUUGCCAUUGUGGAGAAAUGCCCUCUGGGAGAAGCCGCUAUGCGACUGCUAACACUUGGCAGUCGUUCCUCUAUGUGAGCAAUGGGGAAUCUCCAUCACUGUGCAGCCAUCUGAACCUCAUUUCUAUGAGAUCCCAGAGGUCUUUGCAAGGUUUGUUUAUUAUUAGCCUCAUUUAUCUCUCUCAUGACUGAUUCUGUAUAUAAGGAAAGUGUACCCUAUUAAAAAUUCAUGUGUUACUAUCUAGGACACAGAGUUGAGUGUGGGGUAACCCAUAUUUCAUCAUCAUACUAUUAAAUAACAAGAAUUAAUUUUACUUCACAUCAACUUGCUAGCAUGGCUGAACUAAAUUUUAACAUACGUCAAAGAGCUGACAUCUGUUAGAUUAAGAAUGUCAUAUCUGGAUUCAGGAUAUCUUACUAAAAAGAUCAGUGUUUGUUUCUGACAUCACAAAUCGUCUUCUUGUUCCUGCUAGUUGAACAUUUCCACUUUGCAGUGUCUUCUGUUAACUGCUGAUCACAACAUGGCAACCCAAAGCUGGUGGCAGUAGAUGACCAGGAAGUCCACCCUAUGUUACUGUAAUAUGUAUGAAUAUGCAUGAGGGAAAAUCCUUUGGAGGAGGUAGAAUAUUGCAUAUCUCAUGGAGGAGUACCUAUGAAAUGGAGUUGUAGGUUCAUCUGUGAGAAAAAUCCCUGUGGCUAAAGCUGUGACUUGGUGCCAUGUUGCCCCACAAAAUAGUACCAAACCAGGCACAUUCCCACCGUCGUGUACUCAUGUCCAGCUCAUUGCUUGUGCUGAAAAAACACUUUGGUAGACAGUUCUGUGCCACAGAUCAGAGUAGUGACAUUGCACCUUCAAAGCUGGCAUGCCAUCAACCCAAAGACCCUGUGUAACCACUCUGCCCACAAGGUGGGUGCCAAGAUUUGGCAAUGUGUUGUGCUGGUGUUGUCACCCCUGCCUGCCCUAGACCAACCCACAGUCCACAGUGCUCUGUUUUGCAGUGACAACCUUCAUUAACUUUCUGGCAAACAAGAAUGACCAGUGACAGAGUUUUUGAG
This is a long non-coding RNA of Lagopus muta (rock ptarmigan), 3777 nucleotides long. RefSeq lists it as uncharacterized. The transcript is spliced from 3 exons. NCBI's taxonomy places the organism in Eukaryota, Metazoa, Chordata, Aves, Galliformes, Phasianidae. The record is from RefSeq and is a predicted model, not a curated record.